UCGCCUGUUUAUCAAAAACAUGGUCUUUUGUUUAUAUAAAAGAUUUGGCCUGCCCAAUGAUUAUUUUAAUGGCUGCAGUAUUUUGACUGUACAAAGGUAGCAUAAUCAUUUGUCUUUUAAUUGAAGUCUGGUAUGAAUGGUUAAAUGAAAAAUUUACUUUCUUUAUUUUAAAUAUAAAAUUUGAUUUUUGAAUUAGAAAGUUUAUAUGUUUUUAUGGGACGAGAAGACCCUAUAGAACUUAACUUCCCCCAUUAUAAUUAUUUACUUGUAAAUAAUUAUUUAUUAUUCUAGGGGAAGUUUUAUUGGGGUGAUAAAAAAAAAUUUUUAACUUUUUUUAUUUAUUUCAUUUAUUUAUGAAUUUUUGAUCCUUUAUUAUGGAUAAUAAGAUUAAGUUACCUUAGGGAUAACAGCGUUAUUGUUUUAGAGAGUUCAUAUUGAUAAAAUAGUUUGCGACCUCGAUGUUGGAUUAAAAUUAGUGUCAGGGGUAGAAUAUUGAUUACUAGGUCUGUUCGACCUUUAAAUUUUUACAUGAUCUGAGUUCAAACCGGAGA
Molecule: ribosomal RNA, 551 nt
Filed under: Hamatophylus guttulosus
Lineage: Eukaryota; Metazoa; Arthropoda; Insecta; Hemiptera; Miridae
Description: partial 16S ribosomal RNA
Rfam family: Bacterial large subunit ribosomal RNA
Source: RNAcentral